UGGGGAAUCUUAGACAAUGGGGGAAACCCUGAUCUAGCCAUGCCGCGUGAGCGAUGAAGGCCUUAGGGUUGUAAAGCUCUUUCAGCUGGGAAGAUAAUGACGGUACCAGCAGAAGAAGCCCCGGCUAACUCCGUGCCAGCAGCCGCGGUAAUACGGAGGGGGCUAGCGUUGUUCGGAAUUACUGGGCGUAAAGCGCACGUAGGCGGAUUAGUCAGUCAGAGGUGAAAAUCCCAGGGCUCAACCCUGGAACUGCCUUUGAUACUGCUAGUCUUGAGGUCGAGAGAGGUGAGUGGAAUUCCGAGUGUAGAGGUGAAAUUCGUAGAUAUUCGGAGGAACACCAGUGGCGAAGGCGGCUCACUGGCUCGAUACUGACGCUGAGGUGCGAAAGCGUGGGGAGCAAAACAGGAUUAGAUACCCUGGUAGUCCACGCCGUAAAACGAUGAAUGCCAGUCGUCGGGUUGCAUGCAAUUCGGUGACACACCUAACGGAUUAAGCAUUCCGCCUGGGGAGUACGGUCGCAAGAUUAAAAACUCAAAGGAAUUGACGGGGUCAUAGCUGUUUCCUG
This 565-nucleotide ribosomal RNA is filed under the name uncultured bacterium. RNAcentral describes it as "partial 16S ribosomal RNA". It matches the Rfam family "Bacterial small subunit ribosomal RNA", at positions 355 to 1376 of the family's 1533-position model. The record is from RNAcentral.